CAGUCCGUAGGGGUGGAGUCAGGCAGCAGUACGCCUGGAAAUUGACGUCGAGUGAUAGGAUGCAGCCAAUGUGGUGGUAAAGUCAUCAGGCUAAUCUAGCGAGUCGGAUAACAGUACCGUGAGGAAAGUUGAAAGUACUUUGAGGAGAGAGUAAACAGUGCGGGAACCGAUCAGAGGUAACGGGUGGAGUGAGCUGCGAGCUCGAGAAUUCAGCUGGUGAGUGUGUUUGAGCUUUGUCUAGUCAGUGAGUCUGCCAGUGUUCUGUGAGGCACUUAUCAUGUGUUGGGACACGGUGGUCUUCGGGCUGACUCGCGCAGUGCACUUUCUCAGAGUGGUCACCACGACCGACAUUGCUGUCUGGAUGGUGGGGUUAAUCCGGUUUUGCAUGGUCCCCGUGGCUAUGAUUGAUCGUGACGGCAGGUAGCUCGUUGACUUGCACAUGGUUCGAUGUGUGUGUGGUGUUGGAGUGUAAUCAGCUGACCACAUCGGUUCUGUGCGGUAUGUGGGAGACGGCGGCUAGUGCUAGCGCGUGGUUAGUUGGUAGGCGGGUCCGAGUUUGGUUAUUACGUAGCCUGUUUGUGCAGGCAUGAUAAUGGCUAGGAUUCGUUCGGUUGACUGGUGCGUGCGAGUGCAAUAUGGGGCCCAUAUUCUGUGGCGUAGUGGUAACUAUCCUCCUGACCCGUCUGGAAACACGGACCAAGGAGAGUAACAUGUGCGUAGAGUCAUUGGGUAUUACGAAACGUAAAGGCGCAGUGAAAGAUAAGGUCGGGUUUGUCUAGAGAGAGGGGAGAUCCUGUGGUGUCGUUGGCAGUCCUACCAAGCAUCGAGCGGCAGGCGCAUCACCGGUCCGUCCCAUGACAAUUGUCUUCGACAGUACUCAGUCGGGGCGGAGCAUGAGCGUACAUGUUGAGACCAGAAAGAUGGUGAACUAUGCUUGCGCAGGUUGAAGCCAGAGGAAACUCUGGUGGAGGACCGAAGCGGUUUGACGUGCAAAUCGAUCUCCAGA
RNAcentral lists this ribosomal RNA (1006 nucleotides) under Prosthodendrium sp. 9_Lo. Its description in RNAcentral is "partial large subunit ribosomal RNA". It matches the Rfam family "Eukaryotic large subunit ribosomal RNA", at positions 221 to 909 of the family's 3401-position model. The record is from RNAcentral. Lineage: Eukaryota; Metazoa; Platyhelminthes; Trematoda; Plagiorchiida; Lecithodendriidae.